Long non-coding RNA from Phyllopteryx taeniolatus (common seadragon), 1204 nucleotides. RefSeq lists it as uncharacterized. The transcript is spliced from 2 exons. The record is from RefSeq and is a predicted model, not a curated record. NCBI's taxonomy places the organism in Eukaryota, Metazoa, Chordata, Actinopteri, Syngnathiformes, Syngnathidae.
GUCGAUCAAUACUUCCCCUGUAGCUUAUCACUAAUGUGCAACCAGCUGUUUGUCUACAUAAAGACUUGGACCGGACACGGACCUCCCUCGGCUCCCCGCCUGCCCCGUCAGCUUCUGGACUUUUACCGUUUUGGAAAGAUACCGGAAGGUAUAUGUAGAGGGUGGGACGGGGACGGAAGAGCAGCUGGAACGAGAGACGAGAACGACUGCCAUCCGAUGCAAACGGAGCGCCUGACGGCAGAGUUCUUGACGCCGAUGCCAGAAUUCCCGACCCAUCCGUCCACCAAUCGCCAUCUGUCCUCCGGAGCUGUGGAGUGUGACAAUGGUGUUUGUGUCCUGUCAAUCAAACGCCAUCAUCACACUAAAUAGCUACAGGGUGGAAAAAACACUCUCGGAUCCCUCUGAUUUUGUUCUUCUUUUUUUUUUUUUUUUUUUUUUUUUCUCAGAUUUGAGGUAAAUUUUCUUAAAAUGUCCAAAAAGUUUGAAUGGCCUUGCUUUUUAUUUCUGUAAAAACAUUAAAUCCAUUUUAAUUUCAGUUAAUUUUAAAUUGAAUUCAACAAGAAAUAUUUUUCACGGGCCAAUGUAACUCACAAAUAUAAAGCAGAACAAUUGUUAUUUACUACCCCAUUGGGGCCAAAAGGUUUAUAACGUAAAAAUGGCAUGAACAUAUCUUCGACUAAUGUUCCUUUUCCGACACAGUUUUGGCCAGAAUGCUAUAUUUAUAAAAUAUUGACAUUCUACUGCAAAAUGUGUUUGUGGUCACACUUUUUUUCCUUCUGGCUUAGACAUCAACCGAACUAAGGUUUUCAAUGGAAAAAAAAAAAUGGUGAACUAGUCUUGCAAAACUUAAAUUCUGUCUGUCUGUCUGCUGCAGCAGCUGUCAGUAUGCACCUCCCCCUUUCUUUUGCCUAAAUUGCCCUCCCGCACCCUGUUUUUUAAAUAUGAUUUAAUUAUUGUAUUUGCUUGUGUUUGGGAACAUUGGGCCAGUAGCCACAUAUUUUUUUUCAACUGCGCUAUAAUGUUAAGUAUUGUGGUUAAUUUUGCACCAAACCUUAUCAGGAAUGCGCAAACAUUCCUGACUGUUGUGUUGCUCAACUAUAAAGCAGCCAUGAGGAAGAGGAUGAGGAGGGCUCGGGGCGAGGAGCGCUGUGCUGUAUGUACAAUUCUCCCAAAGGCUCAAAUAAAUGCCCAUCAUAUAUUAAAA